This 1354-nucleotide ribosomal RNA is filed under the name Actinomycetes bacterium. RNAcentral's name for it is "Actinobacteria bacterium partial 16S ribosomal RNA". The record is from RNAcentral. Lineage: Bacteria; Bacillati; Actinomycetota; Actinomycetes.
UUAGGCCACCGGCUUCAGGUGUUACCGACUUUCAUGACUUGACGGGCGGUGUGUACAAGACCCGGGAACGUAUUCACCGCAGCGUUGCUGAUCUGCGAUUACUAGCGACUCCGACUUCAUGAGGUCGAGUUGCAGACCUCAAUCCGAACUGGGACCGGCUUUUUGGGAUUCGCUCCACCUCACGGUAUUGCAGCCCUUUGUACCGGCCAUUGUAGCAUGCGUGAAGCCCAAGACAUAAGGGGCAUGAUGAUUUGACGUCAUCCCCACCUUCCUCCGAGUUGACCCCGGCAGUAUCCCAUGAGUUCCCACCAUUACGUGCUGGCAACAUAGAACGAGGGUUGCGCUCGUUGCGGGACUUAACCCAACAUCUCACGACACGAGCUGACGACAACCAUGCACCACCUGUUUACGAGUGUCCAAAGAGUUGACCAUUUCUGGCCCGUUCUCGUAUAUGUCAAGCCUUGGUAAGGUUCUUCGCGUUGCAUCGAAUUAAUCCGCAUGCUCCGCCGCUUGUGCGGGUCCCCGUCAAUUCCUUUGAGUUUUAGCCUUGCGGCCGUACUCCCCAGGCGGGGAACUUAAUGCGUUAGCUGCGUCACGGAAUCCGUGGAAUGGACCCCACAACUAGUUCCCAACGUUUACGGGGUGGACUACCAGGGUAUCUAAGCCUGUUUGCUCCCCACCCUUUCGCUCCUCAGCGUCAGUUACGGCCCAGAGAUCUGCCUUCGCCAUCGGUGUUCCUCCUGAUAUCUGCGCAUUCCACCGCUACACCAGGAAUUCCAAUCUCCCCUACCGCACUCUAGUCUGCCCGUACCCACUGCAGGCCCGAGGUUGAGCCUCGGGAUUUCACAGCAGACGCGACAAACCGCCUACGAGCUCUUUACGCCCAAUAAUUCCGGAUAACGCUUGCGCCCUACGUAUUACCGCGGCUGCUGGCACGUAGUUAGCCGGCGCUUUUUCUGCAGGUACCGUCACUUUCGCUUCUUCCCUGCUAAAAGAGGUUUACAACCCGAAGGCCGUCAUCCCUCACGCGGCGUUGCUGCAUCAGGCUUUCGCCCAUUGUGCAAUAUUCCCCACUGCUGCCUCCCGUAGGAGUCUGGGCCGUGUCUCAGUCCCAGUGUGGCCGGUCACCCUCUCAGGCCGGCUACCCGUCGACGCCUUGGUGAGCCAUUACCUCACCAACAAGCUGAUAGGCCGCGAGCCCAUCCCCAACCGAAAAAUCUUUCCAAACGCAGACCAUGCGGUCACGUCACAUAUCCAGUAUUAGACGCCGUUUCCAGCGCUUAUCCCAGAGUCAGGGGCAGGUUGCUCACGUGUUACUCACCCGUUCGCCACUGAUCCACAAGAGCAAGCUCCU